GCGCACCAGUCGCGAAAACUUCACACUGUGCGAAAGCACGAUGAGGGAAUCCCAAGUGCUUGCACGUAAGUGUAAGCUGUUUCUCUGUUUAAAACGCAGAGAGAGUAAGGGCUGGGUAAGACGGGUGCCAGCCGCCGCGGUAAUACCUGCAGCCCAAGUGGUGACCGUUAUUAUUGGGCCUAAAACGUCCGUAGCCGGUUUAAUAAAUGCCUGGGUAAAUCGUGUAGCUUAACUAUACGAAUUCCGGGUAGACUGUUAAACUCGAGACCGGGAGAAGUUAGAGGUACUCCUGGGGUAGAGGUGAAAUUCUGUAAUCCUAGGGGGACCACCAGUGGCGAAGGCGUCUAACUAGAACGGGUCUGACGGUGAGGGACGAAGCCCUGGGGCGCAAACGGGAUUAGAUACCCGGGUAGU
RNAcentral lists this ribosomal RNA (414 nucleotides) under uncultured microorganism. Its description in RNAcentral is "bacterial SSU rRNA". It matches the Rfam family "Archaeal small subunit ribosomal RNA", at positions 330 to 745 of the family's 1478-position model. The record is from RNAcentral.